UACAGCUACAAAAGUCAUAAAUAUUAUUUAAAAAAUAUCAUCUACAAGGAGAGAAAAAAUGGAAAAUGAAGAAGAAGUACUUGAAAUUGAAGUUGAUGCAGAGGGUGAUGAAG
Long non-coding RNA from Dendronephthya gigantea, 113 nucleotides. RefSeq lists it as uncharacterized. NCBI's taxonomy places the organism in Eukaryota, Metazoa, Cnidaria, Anthozoa, Malacalcyonacea, Nephtheidae. The record is from RefSeq and is a predicted model, not a curated record. The transcript is spliced from 4 exons.